GACGAACGCUGGCGGCGUGCUUAACACAUGCAAGUCGAACGGAAAGGCCCUGCUUGCAGGGUGCUCGCGUGGCGAACGGGUGAGUAACACGCGGGUGAUCUGCCCCUUACUUUGGGAUAAGCCUGGGAAACUGGGUCUAAUACUGGAUAGGACCAUGCUGUAGGUGGUGUGGUGGAUAGAUUAGUUUCGGUAAGGGAUGAGCUCGCGGCCGAUCAGCUUGUUGGUGGGGUAUUGGCCGACCAAGGCGUCGACGGGUAGCCGGCCUGAGAGGGUGGACGGCCACAUUGGGACUGAGAGACGGCCCAGAAGCCUACGGGAGGCAGCAGUGGGGAAUAGUGCACAAUGGGCGCAAGCCUGAUGCAGCGACGCCGCGUGGGGGAUGACGGCCUUCGGGUUGUAAACUACUUACAGCCAUGACGAAGCCCUUGUGGUGACGGUAGUGGUAGAAGAAGCACCGGCUAACUACGUG
RNAcentral lists this ribosomal RNA (469 nucleotides) under uncultured bacterium. RNAcentral's name for it is "partial 16S ribosomal RNA". It matches the Rfam family "Bacterial small subunit ribosomal RNA", at positions 28 to 507 of the family's 1533-position model. The record is from RNAcentral.